This 1728-nucleotide unclassified non-coding RNA is filed under the name Nostocaceae cyanobacterium MTQ15-MM2. Its description in RNAcentral is "bacterial SSU rRNA". The stretch from base 1 to 1164 matches the Rfam family "Bacterial small subunit ribosomal RNA", at positions 356 to 1533 of the family's 1533-position model. The record is from RNAcentral. Lineage: Bacteria; Bacillati; Cyanobacteriota; Cyanophyceae; Nostocales; Nostocaceae.
GGGGAAUUUUCCGCAAUGGGCGAAAGCCUGACGGAGCAAUACCGCGUGAGGGAGGAAGGCUCUUGGGUUGUAAACCUCUUUUCUCAGGGAAGAAAAAAAUGACGGUACCUGAGGAAUAAGCAUCGGCUAACUCCGUGCCAGCAGCCGCGGUAAUACGGAGGAUGCAAGCGUUAUCCGGAAUGAUUGGGCGUAAAGCGUCCGCAGGUGGCUGUGUAAGUCUGCUGUUAAAGAGUCAUGCUCAACAUGAUAAAGGCAGUGGAAACUACACGGCUAGAGUGCGUUCGGGGCAGAGGGAAUUCCUGGUGUAGCGGUGAAAUGCGUAGAUAUCAGGAAGAACACCGGUGGCGAAAGCGCUCUGCUAGGCCGCAACUGACACUGAGGGACGAAAGCUAGGGGAGCGAAUGGGAUUAGAUACCCCAGUAGUCCUAGCCGUAAACGAUGGAUACUAGGCGUGGCUUGUAUCGACCCGAGCCGUGCCGUAGCUAACGCGUUAAGUAUCCCGCCUGNGGAGUACGCACGCAAGUGUGAAACUCAAAGGAAUUGACGGGGGCCCGCACAAGCGGUGGAGUAUGUGGUUUAAUUCGAUGCAACGCGAAGAACCUUACCAAGACUUGACAUGUCGCGAACUUUUCUGAAAGGGAGAGGUGCCUUCGGGAGCGCGAACACAGGUGGUGCAUGGCUGUCGUCAGCUCGUGUCGUGAGAUGUUGGGUUAAGUCCCGCAACGAGCGCAACCCUCGUUUUUAGUUGCCAGCAUUAAGUUGGGCACUCUAGAGAGACUGCCGGUGACAAACCGGAGGAAGGUGGGGAUGACGUCAAGUCAGCAUGCCCCUUACGUCUUGGGCUACACACGUACUACAAUGCUUUGGACAGAGGGCAGCAAGCUAGCGAUAGCAAGCAAAUCCCGUAAACCAAAGCUCAGUUCAGAUCGCAGGCUGCAACUCGCCUGCGUGAAGGAGGAAUCGCUAGUAAUUGCAGGUCAGCAUACUGCAGUGAAUUCGUUCCCGGGCCUUGUACACACCGCCCGUCACACCAUGGAAGCUGGCAACGCCCGAAGUCAUUACUCCAACCUUUCGAGGAGGAGGAUGCCUAAGGCAGUGCUGGUGACUGGGGUGAAGUCGUAACAAGGUAGCCGUACCGGAAGGUGUGGCUGGAUCACCUCCUUUUAGGGAGACCUACCCAACUUUGAAAUCGAAAGCAGACAGUAAAUAGAUACAAAGAUGGUCAUUCCUAGGUCGGUCGCAACAAUUUGUGGUGAGCUUUCAAACUAUGAUUGGUUCGAUUUGGGCUAUUAGCUCAGGUGGUUAGAGCGCACCCCUGAUAAGGGUGAGGUCCCUGGUUCGAGUCCAGGAUGGCCCACCUGAAAGUAAUUAGUAAUUCGUAAUGCGUAAUUCGUAAUUAAUUACGAACUACGAAUUAGAAAUUGCGAAUUAUUUAGGGGGGUUUAGCUCAGUUGGUAGAGCGCCUGCUUUGCAAGCAGGAUGUCAGCGGUUCGAGUCCGCUAACCUCCACCUAAUGUGGAAAGCCAAAAAAAAGAAUGAGAAAUCAGCAAUAUGACUUGAAAGUCAGACUGCUGAGUGAACCUCAGCCAGAACCUUGAAAACUGCAUAGUAACGCGAAAAAAGCAGGCAGACACAGACACCGAAAAAAUGUCAGUGUUUGCAGUUGGACACCAAAUGUAAUGUGAUCAAGCUAAUAAGGGCUUACGGUGGAUACCUAGGCACACAGAG